CGCCGCGGUAAUUCCAGCUCCAAUAGCGUAUAUUAAAGUUGUUGCAGUUAAAAAGCUCGUAGUUGAAUUUCGGGAUCAAUUUGCUGGUCGUGCCUUCGGUACGCACUGGUAUUAUUGGUUUCUCCUUUCUGAUGAAUCGCGAUGUCAUUAAUUUGGUGUCGUGGGGAAUCAGGACCGUUACUUUGAAAAAAUUAGAGUGUUUAAAGCAGGCUCACGCUUGAAUACAUUAGCAUGGAAUAAUGAAAUAGGACGUUUGAUUCUAUUUUGUUGGUUUCUAGGAUCGACGUAAUGAUUAAUAGGGAUAGUUGGGGGCAUUAGUAUUCAAUUGUCAGAGGUGAAAUUCUUGGAUUUAUUGAAGACUAACUACUGCGAAAGCAUUUGCCAAGGAUGUUUUCAUUAAUCAAGAACGAAAGUUAGGGGAUCGAAGACGAUCAGAUACCGUCGUAGUCUUAACCAUAAACUAUGCCGACUAGGGAUCGGAUGAUGUUAAUUUUUUAAUGACUCAUUCGGCGCCUUACG
This 519-nucleotide unclassified non-coding RNA is filed under the name uncultured Glomeromycotina. RNAcentral describes it as "SSU rRNA". It matches the Rfam family "Eukaryotic small subunit ribosomal RNA", at positions 572 to 1092 of the family's 1831-position model. The record is from RNAcentral. Lineage: Eukaryota; Fungi; Glomeromycota.